UCCUCGACCCCUGUCCGCUCCCUGGCACUGCCCCUUUCUCUGCCCGCUUGCUGCUUCGCCUCCUGUCCUGGCCCUGCUCGGCCUAAAUUCGGCUCCCCUUCUAAUUCCAUUUUCUGUCGCUCCUCACCCCCCUCAUUUCUUUUCAUCACCCCCUUUAUUUCUGCUGUGCCCCCCGAUUCUCUACCUCACACCCUACCUCCUGGGCCUCGCCCUCCCUCCCCCAUUUUCUCUGCCUCUCUGUACCUUUUUCGCCUCCGACCCCACCCCCUUUUUUCUGCACCCGGCUCUCCCUCCUCAGCCUACGAAGCUCGGGACCGGGACUGGGAUUGAGCAUGAGAAGAGAUUUUUGGUGUCAAGUUCGAGAAGGGUAAAUCAAACCAUGGACUCAGAGGCAUAUUGAGCUAUGCUCAGGCCUCAUGAGGGGAAAAGAUGUCUACUAUGUAUUAUGCACAGAAAAUACAAAGAAAUAUAGGCCCCUUCCCUUCAAGGAAUUUAUAGACAAGUCAUAAGAAGAAAAUAAUGAAAAUAAUGACAUCUUAGAUUUGGUAAGUAUGAAAAGAGUACUAUGUUAAAAUAAGGAAUUGAUCACAGAUAUCUCUUUCUUAUAAACAGAAAUAAUGUGAUUUUGAUAGUUAAAGGUACAAGGCUUUAGACUAGAGGUUGGAAAAUUCUUUUCGGUAAAGGGCUAGAUCCUGAAGAUUGUUGACUUAUAAGCCACACAGAUUUCCAUGUCUGUGUUGCAUUUUACUCUUUGUUGUAGUUGUUUUUCUUUUUAUAAUCCUUUAAAACAUAAAACUGCAUUUAGCUCUUGGGCCAUACAAAAACAGAUGGAAUGCUAUAGUUGCAAACCCCUGACUUUAGAGUUGGACCUGGAUCCCUGUCACUUUGUACCAGUAACUAUGUGUGAUCUUAGUAAAGUUUCUUUCUCCUAUUUAACUCUCAUCUAUAUUGGGGAUAAUGAUUGUAGGCUUAUUGUGAGGAAGAAAUGUUUUUAGCCUUCUACUUGGCCCCUAAGUAAAUGCUUAAUAAAUGAUAGUUGUGCAAUCCAGUGACUUAAGAUUAGGCUGAGAAUAGUUAUUUAAUUGCUCAGUCUUAUAAGGGGCAAACAUAGUAAUUUUUAAUCAAAUAGGGACUUUGAAUUACCCUGAAAAUAUUUGCUCUUUGGUAGCUGAUAUCACUAACUUCAUCUGAUUUGUGGACUGAAGUAAAAAAAAAAAGUAAGAUUACUGAUGGUAUUUCCUGAAGUUUCUAAGUUAAUAAAAGUGAUAGAGUACUUAUGAAGGAAAAACAAAGAUAUCGCUUGUGGAAUAUGAAGUGCAAGAGUGUAAAUCUGAGAGUCAAAUCUGGGAUUGAUUUGGCAUCCUUUAGCCUGUUCCUUUUCUCACUGUGGGUAGCAAGGGCUGUGAACUAAACAGCCUUCUAACUAACUCUCUUUUAAAAAAUGCUUUUAUUUUUUAUUUAUGUAUAUGUGGUGCUGAGAAUCGAACCCAGCGCCUCACAGGUGCUAGGCAAACGCUCUACCACUGAGCCACAGUACCUGCCCACUAACUCACUCUCAAGUCCAGUUCAAGAAUAGAUGGGAUUGGGCCAAAGUAUCUUCGACACUGGAAACUGAAAUUUUCUAACCCUAGUUACUGUUAUUUGUCUCUUCUUAUGACUCUUGUACUGUUAUAGCUGUUGUGUUACUAUAUCAUUUCAAGACCUUUAUUUUUCAGCUUGACUUGGUGAAAAGAGAAUGGUGUAUCUCCAAGGUUUAGCCUACUGGUGAUUUAUUCCUGUAAUAUUUGGUUUAGCUGCUUAACUCCUGGGAAAUUCUAUUUAAAAUGAACCUUUUCUUUAUCUUUUUGAGAAUCAAGGGUAAAAAAAAUUAGAUCGCUAAUGUGGUCAGUUUCUAGUUUGUAAUAUAGACUAAUUGCUCCCAUUACAAACACAAUGUCAAAGCACCCACGUGCUUUUGUUCAUUGGGCUAGCUUUCUUAAAAGGCUUAAGAGUGAGUCACUGUUAGUAAAAAUUAUUGAGGUAGUUAAUUAAGUCCAAAAAAUGAUCAUUCACCAUUGUGUUUUCCAGAUAGUAUACAAAGCAAAAGAUGGAAGAAAUAUUUGUUUUGCCUUAAGUUUAGGGAAUAUGGGGUCUAGGCUUAACUAGUGUGAUUCAUUAAUAAGCAUUUAUUAAAUGUCUAUAAUGUAUGAAAUAUGAUGGGAAAUAUAGGUCUGAGCCCUGCCCACAAAGUACUUACAAUCCAGUGACUUAAUAGAUAAUAUUUAUGGGCAUUACAACAUGUUAGACAUUGUGCUAAGUGCUUUGCAAGUAUUUCUUUUUCUUUGCAGUGCUUGGGAUCUAACUGGCAUGCUACAUAAGUGCUCUACCACUGAGCUACAUCCCUAUCCCUUAAUUAAAAUUUUAUUUUGAGAUAGGAUCUCACCAAGUUGCCUAGGCUGGCUUUAAAAUUUGCCACCUUCCUGCCUAAGCCUCCCAAGUAGUUGGGAUUACAGGUAUACCAUGUAUAACUGCAAUUAUAAUUUCAUUUACACUUCCUAACAUCGCUGUUACGAGAUGGGCACUAUUAUCUUUCCCAUUUAACAGAUGAUGAAAUUGGGGCUUAGAGAAGUUAAGUGACCUCCCUGAUGUCACAUAACUUAGACAUAUUUAGCCAGGAUUCAAACCCACUCAAUCUAGUUCAA
This is a non-coding RNA of Ictidomys tridecemlineatus (thirteen-lined ground squirrel), 2681 nucleotides long. The record is from RefSeq and is a predicted model, not a curated record. Lineage: Eukaryota; Metazoa; Chordata; Mammalia; Rodentia; Sciuridae.